This 1131-nucleotide long non-coding RNA is filed under the name Ananas comosus (pineapple). RNAcentral's name for it is "long non-coding RNA (ACOM_LNC026644)". Lineage: Eukaryota; Viridiplantae; Streptophyta; Magnoliopsida; Poales; Bromeliaceae. The record is from RNAcentral.
UUUUGAUAGAAAAUUCUAUUCACUACCUCUAAGAUCAAUAACUCCGAUCUUAAAUUGAAGGAUCCAAUCAUCCAUUUUUAGGACGUUGUUCGAUUUUGACCGUCCAUUUUAUGCUCGUUUGAUGGACUUUAUUAUAAUUUCGAAAAAUUACGAAAUUUAUUUUUUAGAAGUUUCAAAUACUCUAGAUCAUAUUUAACGGACUAGAUCGUCGAUUCAGAAACCCCAUCAUCGAAAACAACAAAUGAGUAUGAAGGGCCCAAUACUCAUAAGAGUAUAAUAGCCCUACUCUAUAUAUAUAUAUAGGGUCCGGCUACUAUACUAUUAUGAGUACGAUCGCCCUCGUACUCAUAAGUUGUUUUCGAUGAUAGAGCUUCCGAAUCGACGAUCCACACUGUUAAACAUUAUCUAGAGCAUUUAAAACUUCUAGAAAUCAAAUUUCAUAAUUUUUUGACAUCAUUUGCCUUACGAUCAAAAACUCACAAAAUUGACAAUUUUUAACAACCGUUAUGGGAUACUUGCUAGUUUAACGGUGUAAAAGAAUCGGAAUUUGUUGAAUUUUUGAUAGAAAAUUCUAUUCACUACAUAGAUAAAGAUCAAUAACUCCGAUCUUGAAUUGAAGGAUCCGAUCAUCCUUUUUUAGGACGUCGUUCGAUUUUGACCGUUCAUUUUAUGCCCACUUGAUGGACUUUAUUAUGAUUUCGAAAAUUUACGAAAUUUAUUUUCUAGAAGUUUCAAAUACUCUAGAUCAUAUUUAACGGAGUGGAUCGUCGAUUGGGAAGCUCUAUUAUCGAAAACAACUUAUGAGUACGAGGGCUCCAAUACUCAUAAUAGUAUAGUAGCCAUGGCCUAUAUAUAUAUAUAGGCUAGGCGACUAUACUCUUAUGAGUAUAGACCCUUUUAUACUUAUAAAUUUUUGGCUAUUGGAUGUGCGAUUAAGAUGAUAGUGGUCCUUUAGGAUUGAGUGGUCUCCUAGAAUGGAAAUGGUCAAAAAGAUAGAUCUAAUGGUCGAAAACUUAUGAGUAUAAAUGAGUCUAUACUCAUAAUAGUAUAAUAGCCGAACUCUCUAUAUAUAUAAUUAAUAUAAUAUAUACUUUAAUUAUAUAAAAUAAUAUAUUAUGUAUUUAAUUAUAU